Molecule: ribosomal RNA, 308 nt
Filed under: uncultured bacterium
Lineage: Bacteria
Description: partial 16S ribosomal RNA
Rfam family: Bacterial small subunit ribosomal RNA
Source: RNAcentral
GAGACAGCAGCAGCCGCGGGAAUACGAAGGGGGAUAGCGUUGCUCGGAAUCACUGGGCGUAAAGGGUGCGUAGGCGGGUCUUUAAGUCAGGGGUGAAAUCCUGGAGCUCAACUCCAGAACUGCCUUUGAUACUGAAGAUCUUGAGUUCGGGAGAGGUGAGUGGAACUGCGAGUGUAGAGGUGAAAUUCGUAGAUAUUCGCAAGAACACCAGUGGCGAAGGCGGCUCACUGGCCCGAUACUGACGCUGAGGCACGAAAGCGUGGGGAGCAAACAGGAUUAGAUACCCCUGUAGUCCCUGUCUCUUAUAC